Molecule: long non-coding RNA, 1083 nt
Organism: Bos taurus (domestic cattle)
Lineage: Eukaryota; Metazoa; Chordata; Mammalia; Artiodactyla; Bovidae
Source: Ensembl
AUCCCGACAACCUAGAUCCGUCCCAGUGUCAGGGCCUCCCCACUGCUGCUCGUCCACGCAGGUCAGCUGGGGGCCCAGACCCAGGCCCAGGGGACAGCCCCAUGGCUCUGGCAGAAGAAAGGGGACUCUGGACACCCUCGCACCAGCCGUGAAACGCUCUGCCCAGGAGGGAAGCCGUCAGCUCUGCUCACAGCUAGCUCACUGGCCUGACUGUCACCUGCUCUGCUCAGCAAGGGGACCUGGAAGUGCCCAGAAGACUGAGAGCCUGAACUGGGAAGGGACAGCCCCAGUGACCAGCACACUGCUCGUCAGCUGUGUGACCACAGGCCAGAUGCUGUCUGGGCCUGCGUUUCCUCCUCUAGGCAAUGGAGAGAAGACGGUCUUCUGCCUCCAGAGCUGCCAUGAGGACCAGAGAAAUCGCAACCAUUUGGAAGUUUAAAUAUAGCCUCCCAGAAACCCAGUGAGCUCAGCUCCUGGUGGUGCUGGCCCCGGCCCCAUCCCUGCACCUCACGAAGCGUUAGCGACACGACGGCUUGAGAACAUUCUCCAGUGUCACUGAUCCUGCUGUCUUUGCCGGCGAGUCUCCCCUCUACUCACAUAGAAGAAACUGGUUACACGAAGGGCAGUAACUCCACUUGCCAGUUCUGAGUCAGAUGGGGAAGAGCAAAGUCUCCAGCCUGGGGUUAACCCAAGACAGGCUGUACCCAUUUCCUGCGGUUACUCUGGGGGCAGCGUGCUAGGACAGAAGCCAAGCUGCAAGUGAGUCCAGGGGGCAGCCUCCUCAUCCUUCUUCCUUCCCUCCACCCCAAUCCUUAGCAUUACUGUGUGUCAGAAAGGCAGGGACCCCGCUGUCAGGGGCUCCAGACCCCCCAGCAGGUAAGAAAAAGGACAACUUGGAAAUCUCUUAAAAAAAAAAAAAAAGACUAAUCUGGUAUGUUUUUCUUCAAACACCUACAUAUCACAACUCUGGUUAAUACACUCUUCAAAAUCUAGUUCCAUUUUACAUCCUUUCCUAACUGUACAAACCGGAACCUCAAUUCCUAUUUCCAUUUCUACCCGGGGGGAUGGGCGAGGGAAGAAGAG